CAAAGUGUAGCUUAACCAAAGCCCCUCGCUUACACCGAGGCAUUGUCUGUUUGAACCGGAUCAUUUUGAG
This 70-nucleotide transfer RNA is filed under the name Pulchrana signata (yellow-spotted frog). RNAcentral describes it as "tRNA-Val". The record is from RNAcentral. Lineage: Eukaryota; Metazoa; Chordata; Amphibia; Anura; Ranidae.